RNAcentral lists this ribosomal RNA (253 nucleotides) under uncultured bacterium. RNAcentral's name for it is "partial 16S ribosomal RNA". It matches the Rfam family "Bacterial small subunit ribosomal RNA", at positions 524 to 776 of the family's 1533-position model. The record is from RNAcentral.
UACGUAGGGUGCGAGCGUUAAUCGGAAUUACUGGGCGUAAAGCGUGCGCAGGCGGUUUUGUAAGCCAGAUGUGAAAUCCCCGGGCUUAACCUGGGAAUGGCAUUUGGGACUGCAAGGCUCGAGUGCGGCAGAGGAGACUGGAAUUCCUGGUGUAGCAGUGAAAUGCGUAGAUAUCAGGAGGAACACCGAUGGCGAAGGCAGGUCUCUGGGCUGACACUGACGCUCAUGCACGAAAGCGUGGGGAGCAAAUGGG